Molecule: unclassified non-coding RNA, 253 nt
Filed under: uncultured Micrococcaceae bacterium
Lineage: Bacteria; Bacillati; Actinomycetota; Actinomycetes; Micrococcales; Micrococcaceae
Description: contains 16S-23S intergenic spacer region
Rfam family: Bacterial small subunit ribosomal RNA
Source: RNAcentral
UACGAAGGUGGCGAGCGUUGUUCGGAAUUAUUGGGCGUAAAGAGCUCGUAGGCGGUUUGUCGCGUCUGCUGUGAAAGCCCGGGGCUCAACCCCGGGUCUGCAGUGGGUACGGGCAGACUAGAGUGCAGUAGGGGAGACUGGAAUUCCUGGUGUAGCGGUGAAAUGCGCAGAUAUCAGGAGGAACACCGAUGGCGAAGGCAGGUCUCUGGGCAUUAACUGACGCUGAGGAGCGAAAGCAUGGGGAGCGAACAGG